AAAAAAACGAAAAACACGAAAAGCAGAAGGAUCAUAAAGAAGAGAAAGAAGGAGAGAGAGAGAAAGAGUGAGUGAGAGGAAGAGAUGAAGAAAUCAGGAGGAGCAGAGAAGAAAAGGGUGCGAAGAUCGUCAGGAGCCGUACAAAACGGCACCAGAGAUCCCAGUUCCGAUACCCCUCAUAUGGUUUGUUCUCUCCUCCUCUGAUCUAGCGUUCUCUUAUACAUUUACGUCCUAUAUACAUUACAUAUCAAGCAUUUUUAACCGUACAUUUCUUUCAAGGAGGAAGGGAAAAUGUCACAUUUUUUCCCUUUUGGGUUGUUGAGAUUGUCGAUAAGGCUACGCUAGAUUUGCACUCUUCGUUUCUUUUGCGCUCUAUUUGGUUUCUGGGAAAGGUCAGUGUAGAAACAUGAAGCGAGCAAGUUGUUUUCUCAUUAUUGUAAGACCGGGAAAAUUCGCGCUUACUAAGCUCUGAUUUAGGUGGGUCAGCUUUUUAAUGCUCCGUUGUGAAGCAACUUAAUGCACAAUUUUUACCUAAUGAGGAAAUUUGUGCUUGGUAUUAUUUUUAUGCGAUUGGGAUUCAACUGACCCAGGAUUGUUGGAUUUUCCUAGGAAGUUUGAUUAUUUACUUUUGCUUGUUUUCUUUUUUGCCUUCUUGCACAGCAGCCAAAUUUAGGUUUUUGAUCGUCUUAUUAUAACAAUUUGGGUCCACAUAACAAGAAGAGGAAGUUUGCUUUCCACAAACCCACACCCCACCCCCCCACCUCACCCACUUCCUGUAUCUGGUGAAUGGUGGAAUUUUGUCUAUUUGUAGUUAACGUUUAAAAGCUGUCAAGGGCAUUCAUCACUUAUGGUUUCUGAUUUUUUUACAAUUAUUUUUCUCUUUAGAAACAAUCUACAAAGAAGGAUGUGUUUCAGUUGUUUGCUGAGAAAGUGAGAGACCACAAAGAUUUGGUUUCUCGUUGGGCUGUUUUGCAGGAGACACGAGUCGAAUACUUUAGAGGGAAGGAUUUCGUAAAUUUCCUGAAAAAUCAUCCCGAGUUAAAAGAUAUAUUGGAACCAAAUAAAAGUUUAGAGGUUGAAGAGAUUGCUAAUACUCUAUUAAGAAAGAAUCUUUUAGUGCGCUGUGAUCGUGUGGUGAAAACAGUUCGUCCUGGGAAGAAAAAGUUCUGGCCAGCACAUUUAGAGAUCUUCCCUGAUCAAGUAUUUUCAGAAAAUGAUGCCUUUUUCGCAUGGACAUUUGUAAAACGGCAGCCACUGUGGCAGACACUUCUCUCAUUUUUUUGGCCGGUGUUGACUCUAGCAAUUUGCCUGUUUCCUGUAUAUCCCCAUCGGUGCAAAGUACUGAUUCUCUACGCAUGUGCAGGAGUUCUUUUACUUAUUCUCUCCCUGCUUUUAUUGAGAGCUACAAUAUUUGGUGCUCUAUAUAUCAUUCUUGGAAAGCGUGUUUGGUUUUUCCCCAACAUCCUUGCUGAAGAAGCUACAUUGCGAGAAUUAUUCCGUUUCUGGCCAAAGAAAGAUGAGGAGGAACGACCUACGUGGACAGCAAGACUUUUCUAUGCAGUAGUAGCUGUGCUGGUCAUAUUACUGUUGAGACAUCAUGCCCCUGAUGAGGCUGCUAGAGCUAGGUAUCAAAAACGGAUGUCAAACAUCAUUGAUGAUGUUCUUGAGUGGUCUCCAAGGCUUGCUCUGUCUGGGAUGAUAGAGAAACAGCAGACUGUGGUUAAUGCCACGGAGCCCAACAACAGUUUUGCAGAUGGGAGAAAAACAAACUCAGAGCACUCAGAGCAAUCUGGGGAUGAAGUAUUUGGAAACAUAGAUGACGUGGAUCAACCCCAGCAUGAAAAUCAUAUACAAGGAUAGAAAAAUGCAAUAUACUGAGCAGAAGACAGAUAUACUACCUUCUUUCUUUGGGUUUUUAUCUUUAGUUUUGAGUGUAAAACAAAACUGUAAUCAAACAGUGAAAUAAAGCAGUUGGCUUGUAAUGCCCCCUUAAUAGAAUUAUGAGAAUAGAUUACAAUGUUAAGUUCAGGGAAGUUGGUAAACGGUAAUGGACAUCAAACUAUAUUGAUCAUUUAUCUGAUACGCUCAGAUGCGUUCUCCAAAAAUAGCAACUUAUUGUUUCCACUGACAUGACUGCACAACAGUUACUGAUGAUAUUUUUCUUGGCAUCCUUUGGGAAGGAGAUGAGAUUGCUCUGUGGUCGCAGCCAGGCAUGCUCCCGAUAAGACGCUCUUCGACAGCCAGGCAGAUGCAUCACAACCGACUUUCUUUCUCCUUGGUUAAUCAUGAUCGAGCCUGUUUGUUCCAUUUGUAACCAAGUUACAUGCGAAUGGGACGGUUCCAAAGUUUUCCUGAGGGAAACUGUGGUCCCAUUCACCACUGAGAUAGUGGUUGGUUCAUCUUCUCCGGUGAGUCUUUUCAUUUUCGGACUGUGGAAAGCAAAUAAUUGAAGUGGGUUCCACUUGAACGAAGGCGUCCCUUAAUUGGCUCGCGUCAUUGCUGAUGAUCUUUUGGGAAUUGUUAUAAAGUGAGAAAUUUAAGAAUUUUG
RNAcentral lists this unclassified non-coding RNA (2548 nucleotides) under Hevea brasiliensis (rubber tree). The record is from RNAcentral. Lineage: Eukaryota; Viridiplantae; Streptophyta; Magnoliopsida; Malpighiales; Euphorbiaceae.